This 217-nucleotide small nucleolar RNA is filed under the name Dracunculus medinensis (Guinea worm). Its description in RNAcentral is "Small nucleolar RNA U3". It matches the Rfam family "Small nucleolar RNA U3". Rfam says of the family: Small nucleolar RNAs (snoRNAs) are involved in the processing and modification of rRNA in the nucleolus. There are two main classes of snoRNAs: the box C/D class, and the box H/ACA class. The record is from Rfam by way of RNAcentral. Lineage: Eukaryota; Metazoa; Nematoda; Chromadorea; Rhabditida; Dracunculidae.
GAGAUCAUACUUCACAGAAUCAUUUCUGUAGUAUGUAUUUCACCACAUGUCACAAAACUGUGGCGAGAUGAACCCGCGAUGAUGAGGUGGGGCACCGUUCCUUGAGCGUGAAGAAGCUUGUCGUUAUUAACGAUAUAAAAUGGUGACGGUGAGCUUGAUGACCGCCCAGGGACCCGUUUUGUAGGGUUCCUGAGGGGGAUGGUGCUGUCUGAGCGGU